This 253-nucleotide ribosomal RNA is filed under the name uncultured bacterium. RNAcentral's name for it is "partial 16S ribosomal RNA". It matches the Rfam family "Bacterial small subunit ribosomal RNA", at positions 524 to 776 of the family's 1533-position model. The record is from RNAcentral.
UACGAAGGGUGCAAACGUUGCUCGGAAUUAUUGGGCGUAAAGCGCACGUAGGCGGCUUAGCAAGUCGGAAGUGAAAGCCCUCGGCUCAACCAAGGAAGUGCUUUCGAAACUGCUGAGCUUGAGUAGUUAAGAGGAUCGCGGAAUUCCCGGUGUAGAGGUGAAAUUCGUAGAUAUCGGGAGGAACACCAGUGGCGAAGGCGGCGAUCUGGGAACAUACUGACGCUGAGGUGCGAAAGCGUGGGGAGCAAACAGG